This 492-nucleotide ribosomal RNA is filed under the name uncultured bacterium. RNAcentral describes it as "partial 16S ribosomal RNA". It matches the Rfam family "Bacterial small subunit ribosomal RNA", at positions 29 to 507 of the family's 1533-position model. The record is from RNAcentral.
AGUGAACGCUGGCGGUAGGCCUAACACAUGCAAGUCGAACGGCAGCACAGUAAGAGCUUGCUCUUACGGGUGGCGAGUGGCGGACGGGUGAGGAAUACAUCGGAAUCUACUUUUUCGUGGGGGAUAACGUAGGGAAACUUACGCUAAUACCGCAUACGUCCUACGGGUGAAAGCAGGGGAUCUUCGGACCUUGCGCGAUUGAAUGAGCCGAUGUCGGAUUAGCUAGUUGGCGGGGUAAAAGCCCACCAAGGCGACGAUCCGUAGCUGGUCUGAGAGGAUGAUCAGCCACACUGGAACUGAGACACGGUCCAGACUCCUACGGGAGGCAGCAGUGGGGAAUAUUGGACAAUGGGCGCAAGCCUGGUCCAGCCAUACCGCGUGGGUGAAGAAGGCCUUCGGGUUGUAAAGCCCUUUUGUUGGGAAAGAAAAGCAGCAGGUUAAUACCCCGCUGUUCUGACGGUACCCAAAGAAUAAGCACCGGCUAACUUCGUG